Molecule: long non-coding RNA, 1058 nt
Filed under: Numida meleagris (helmeted guineafowl)
Lineage: Eukaryota; Metazoa; Chordata; Aves; Galliformes; Numididae
Description: lncRNA (ENSNMEG00000001058.1)
Source: RNAcentral
ACCCAGGGUUUAGGGCCCAAUCCCCCAAUGGGGGCACAGAGCGUGGGGAUGGGGACACGGGGCCCUGGUUGGGGACAAGGGACACAGCCACCUCGUCCUUGCUGCGCGCCGUGGAGUCGCACGUGGUGUUCUUGGGCUUCCGCAGAGGCACCCACUCCCCGCCUCGGUCGAAGGUGAUGACGGAUUGGAUGGAGUUGUCUGAGGGGAGCAGAGGGGGGCACAGCGGGGGCUGGCAGCGUGUCCCCACCGAGCAGCCCCCACCCCGACCCCCCCCCCAUAAAGAGCCGGGUUGCCACCUUCGGACAGCACGCUGGUGAUGUAGAUGCCACGCAGAGAGGUGACGUUGGUGAAGUCGGUCUCGCCGCCGGUGGUGGUGUACAGGUGACGCUCCAGGGACUUGGAGUACACCACGCCGCGGUCGUCCGAUGUGUAGAUGGUGCCGUAGCCGGUGUCUGGGGGGGGGCACGGGGUGGUGGUAAUUGGGAGGGGGGGGUCCCUGGGCACCCACCAGCUCCGCGCAGGGAGAGGAACGCAGCGAGAGGGAAAAACCCAAAGCUGACGUGUGGCCACGCUGCCUGCCAGGAAUGUGUGCUCUCCCGCAGCUACUGCCCGCUAAUUAGCUUCCUCGUGAAGGAAUUAAUGAGGAAAAAGUCCUUCCUCAAAGGCACGGCCCUGCCCGGGCUCAGGGCCCUUGUGCUGCGGAGCGGAGCAGCUCUCAGGGCGCAGUGCUGCUGCUGCGGUGUGCCAGCUGCUCGCCGUCCCCAUCCCCAUCCUCAUUUCAUCCCCAUCCUCACACCAACCCCGUCCUAUCCCAUCCCCAUCCCCAUCCCCAUCCUCAUUCCAUCCCAUCCCAAUCCCAUCUCAAUCUCCUUCCCAUCUGUCUUCAUCCCAUCCUCAUGCCAUCCCACACCUUCUGUAACUCAUCUCCAUCCCAUCCUCAUCCUACCCCCAUCCUGAUCCCAUCCCCAUUCUCAUCCCAUCCCCAUUCUCAACCCCAUCCCCAUUCUCAACCCCAUCCCCAUUCUCAACCCCAUCCCCAUUCUCAACCCCAUCCCCAU